ACAAGGUUUCCGUAGGUGAACCUGCGGAAGGAUCAUUAUCGAGUUUUGAAAGGGGUUGUAGCUGGCCUUUCGGGGCAUGUGCACGCCUCGCUCAUUUCCAACUCUUAACACCUGUGAACCAGCUGUAGGUCGGUUUGAAGUGGGUUCUCGCGAGCCCCUUCGUGCCUUCCUAUGUCUUUAACAAACUCUUGUUGUAUCAGAAUGUAUUCGCGCUUUAAUAAACGCAUCAAUAUAACUUUCAGCAACGGAUCUCUUGGCUCUCGCAUCGAUGAAGAACGCAGCGAAAUGCGAUAAGUAAUGUGAAUUGCAGAAUUCANGUGAAUCAUCGAAUCUUUGAACGCACCUUGCGCCCUUUGGUAUUCCGAAGGGCAUGCCCGUUUGAGUGUCAUUGUAUUCUCAAAUCCCCUCGCUUUUGUGAGGCUUGGAUUUGGAUUUGGAGGUUUUCUGCGGGCGAUUCGUCGUCCGCUCCUCUUGAAUGCAUUAGCUGGAACCUUUUGCUAGACCGGCUUCGGUGUGAUAAUUAUCUGCGCCGUGGCCGUGAAAGCGACUUUGUUGAGGAUCCGCUUCCAAUCGUCUUUUCGGAGACAAACUAAUCUGACAUCUGACCUCAAUCGGGCAGGACUACCCGC
RNAcentral lists this ribosomal RNA (629 nucleotides) under Skeletocutis sp. NMM-2009. RNAcentral describes it as "eukaryotic LSU rRNA". The stretch from base 234 to 388 matches the Rfam family "5.8S ribosomal RNA". The record is from RNAcentral. Lineage: Eukaryota; Fungi; Basidiomycota; Agaricomycetes; Polyporales; Incrustoporiaceae.